AUACGGAGGACCCGAGCGUUAUCCGGAUUUAUUGGGUUUAAAGGGUGCGCAGGCGGCCAUUUAAGUCAGCGGUUAAAUCGUGGGGCUCAACCCCAUUCUGCCGUUGAUACUGGGUGGCUUGAUUGCGGUCGAGGCUGGCGGAAUUCGUUGUGUAGCGGUGAAAUGCAUAGAUAUGACGAAGAAGACCGAUUGCGUAGGCUGCUGACCAGACCGCAAAUGACGCUCAUGCACGAAAGUGCGGGGAUCGAACAGGAUUAGAUACCCUGGUAGUCCGCACAGUAAACGAUGAAUACUUGUUUUCGGCGAUAUAAUGUCGGAGGCAAAGCGAAAGCGAUAAGUAUUCCACCUGGGGAGUACGCCGGCAACGGUGAAACUCAAAGGAAUUGGCGGGG
Molecule: ribosomal RNA, 392 nt
Filed under: uncultured bacterium
Lineage: Bacteria
Description: partial 16S ribosomal RNA
Rfam family: Bacterial small subunit ribosomal RNA
Source: RNAcentral